AGAGUUUGAUCAUGGCUCAGGAUGAACGCUAGUGGGAGGCUUAACACAUGCAAGCCGAGGGGUAUAUAAUUGCUUGCAAUUAUAGAGACCGGCGGAUGGGUGAGUAACGCGUAUGAAACCUGCCCUAUUCAUCAGGAUAGCCCUAGGAAACUGGGAUUAAUACUGAAUAACACUAUUAUCGGCAUCGAUAUUAGUUAAAAGAUUUAUCGGAAUAGGAUGGUCAUGCGUCAGAUUAGUUAGUUGGUAGGGUAACUGCCUACCAAGGCGAUGAUCUGUAGGGGGCCUGAGAGGGUGAUCCCCCACACUGGUACUGAGACACGGACCAGACUCCUACGGGAGGCAGCAGUGAGGAAUAUUGGACAAUGGGUGAGAGCCUGAUCCAGCCAUCCCGCGUGCAGGAAGAAUGCCUUAUGGGUUGUAAACUGCUUUUAUACAGGAAUAAACCACUUUACGUGUAAGGUGUUGAAGGUACUGUAUGAAUAAGCAUCGGCUAACUCCGUGCCAGCAGCCGCGGUAAUACGGAGGAUGCAAGCGUUAUCCGGAUUUAUUGGGUUUAAAGGGUCCGUAGGCGGGCGUAUAAGUCAGGGGUGAAAUCCGACAGCUUAACUGUCGAACUGCCUUUGAAACUGUAUGUCUUGAGUGAGAUUGAAGCAGCUGGAAUGUGUAGUGUAGCGGUGAAAUGCAUAGAUAUUACACAGAACACCGAUAGCGAAGGCAGGUUGCUAAGUCUUUACUGACGCUGAUGGACGAAAGCGUGGGGAGCAAACAGGAUUAGAUACCCUGGUAGUCCACGCCGUAAACGUUGGAUACUGUCUAUUGGAAUUUUCAGUGGAUAAGCGAAAGUGAUAAGUAUCCCACCUGGGGAGUACGUUCGCAAGAAUGAAACUCAAAUGAAUUGACGG
RNAcentral lists this ribosomal RNA (902 nucleotides) under uncultured bacterium. RNAcentral describes it as "bacterial SSU rRNA". It matches the Rfam family "Bacterial small subunit ribosomal RNA", at positions 8 to 916 of the family's 1533-position model. The record is from RNAcentral.